This 73-nucleotide transfer RNA is filed under the name Microscilla marina ATCC 23134. It matches the Rfam family "tRNA". From Rfam's summary of the family: Transfer RNA (tRNA) molecules are approximately 80 nucleotides in length. Lineage: Bacteria; Pseudomonadati; Bacteroidota; Cytophagia; Cytophagales; Microscillaceae. The record is from Rfam by way of RNAcentral.
ACUGAGGUAGUUCAGUGGUAGAACGUCCGGCGCUGGGCCCGGAUGGACGUAGGUUCGAGCCCUACCCUCAGUU